CUCCAAGAAGCUCGCGCGAGCACCGGCCUUUUAAGCCGGAGGAGGGCACAUCAUACUACGCCCCUUGAAGA
This 71-nucleotide transfer RNA is filed under the name Hemidactylus bowringii. RNAcentral's name for it is "tRNA-Lys". The record is from RNAcentral. Lineage: Eukaryota; Metazoa; Chordata; Lepidosauria; Squamata; Gekkonidae.